CGGCAGGCGGCAUCCCAGGGUGAUAGGCUGAAGCAAUCGAGCGCCGAGAGCCCGGCCGCGUGUGCACUCCAGUAACGAAGCGGGGGAGGGACUGCGCCAAAGGCAGGAAAAGUCGGACACCGAAUUAUUCAUCCGGCCUGUCCCGCCUACUUUCCAAAUACCCUCCCGGGGCGAGCAGGGUAUUGAGCGGUCCGGGUCUCUGCAAAAGAUGGAAGAAGCUGCUUUAUCUUACAGUCACCCAAGGGGGACCGCCGCCUUCCUUCCCAGAGUGGAGUGGCAGUGGGUCCGGGAUUCUGGGAUAUGCACAGGGUCUGCACCCUGCGCCCUGUCCGCGCUGAAGCUGGACUUGUCAUUGGUUUACAACAGCAUGGUGAAGAAGUGUGGUGUGGAUGGAUGGACGGGCCUCGCAGGCACAUGAAAUGCUCAAAAGCCCAGUAUUAACCAAACAUGUUUCUCCGUUUUGUCUUU
Long non-coding RNA from Cercocebus atys (sooty mangabey), 468 nucleotides. RefSeq lists it as uncharacterized. NCBI's taxonomy places the organism in Eukaryota, Metazoa, Chordata, Mammalia, Primates, Cercopithecidae. The record is from RefSeq and is a predicted model, not a curated record. The transcript has 2 exons.